Molecule: long non-coding RNA, 1297 nt
Filed under: Helianthus annuus (common sunflower)
Lineage: Eukaryota; Viridiplantae; Streptophyta; Magnoliopsida; Asterales; Asteraceae
Description: hypothetical non coding rna
Source: RNAcentral
GCACCAUCACCACACCGAAUCAUCUCUCCACUUUCUUCUUCAACCUUCUAUACUCUAAACAAAACCUCCAUUACAGACCUCCUCCAACUAUACAAUCUUCAACACUUUCCGCAAAUCACCACACAACCUCAUCUUCAAUGACGUCACCCGAAACUCCACCACCAGCAAUCACCGUCCAACCCGCCUCCCCUCGCUUCCCAAAAUCCACCCAUUAACCGCCGGAACUCACCGGAAAAUCGCCAUCACCGUCGAUCUAAGCGACGAGAGCGCCUACGCCGUCAACUGGGCGGUACAAAACUACCUCCGGCCAGGAGACUCCGUCAUCUUCAUCCACGUCCGCCCUACCUCCGUCCUCUACGGCGCCGAUGAACCACCGACCACUGGACCCCUAACCGAAGAACAUGGAACCAAUACAACGCUUGAAGAUUCGAAAGUGUGACUGAAAACGCUGUAAGUAUAGGAUCGAGCAACGAUCCGUUAACAAUUCGUUCAGAUCUGCAUCUUGUUUGUGUAGAUUGCGUUUUAUUGUGAGCUUUGAUAGUGAGAGCAGAAAUGAAAUGGGAUCUUCAGAUCCGCAUCUUGUUUGUGAAGAUUGCAGUCUAAAGUUUGCUUGUGAGCUUUGAUUGUGAGAACAAAAGUGAAAUAGGAUCCCUUAUAAAAAAUCACAAAUCCAGAUUAUUUGUGUAGAUUGUGUUUUGUUUGUGCAUCUUGUUUGUACACCUUAUAAUAACCCCUAAAUUUAUAAGAGAUCCCUUUCCACAUCAUCAUGCCACAUGGGAUAUAGUGACACAUCAUCGGCACAUAAUCAACUCCAACUCAUCAAAUUUGUGCAACGUCGGAUAAAUAACAAACCCAGUUAGUGAAGAUUUAACUGGGUGGUGCCAACACAAACAAAAAGUCAAGUUGGGGGUGUCGGGUGUCAAAGUGUUAAUUGUGGGUGACAACGGCCAAAGAUCAAUAGUUGGGGGUGAUAAAAUCCAAUAACCCUUAAUUAAAAUGAGAUUCCUUAGAUGUGUCUAUUCACUUGAAACCAAGCUAGAUGUGACCUCUUUAAGUCAUAUAUAUAUCUCACAGAUGGAUGAAGCAAAGGAAAUUUGUUAAAGUGGUAGUCAUGAGUAAGAAAUCUACAUUCUUUUUAAGAUCUUGGUACUUAUAUUAUUCAGUUUGAUUUUCGGUAUUAGUUUGACGAACCAUGUUAUAUUCUUCUGCAAGUAUUACUUCUUAACCGUACACUUUCAACUAUUUGUAAGAUCAUAUGUAAUGGUUUAACGUCUUUAUCUACAUCAACCCAAUUGUG